ACAGAAUCUGCCGUCCUCAAUCGGAGUGCGAGUCGUAGCCGUCGGAUGAGGAAUCGGAGGAGGAAUCGGAGGAUUGGAGGUUGUAAUAGUAGUAGGCGUAGUGGCGUUGGUCGGGGGUGAGGGGGAAGCAGAAGAAAGAGAAGAUGCGGACGGCGAGGCGGCGGAGGUGGUGGAGAGGAAGGCAGCAGAGGAGAUCCAGCACCUGCUCGGCGCUGAGCCGCUCGGGGUUGCAGGCGAUGUACUGGCUCGCCUCCGCUGAAACCCUAGCCACCGUCGCCACCCACGCGCUGUUCAGC
Molecule: unclassified non-coding RNA, 296 nt
Filed under: Hevea brasiliensis (rubber tree)
Lineage: Eukaryota; Viridiplantae; Streptophyta; Magnoliopsida; Malpighiales; Euphorbiaceae
Source: RNAcentral